GAGGCGUGAUGACGAGGCACUACGGUGCUGAAGCAACAAAUGCCCUGCUUCCAGGAAAAGCCUCUAAGCAUCAGGUAACAUCAAAUCGUACCCCAAACCGACACAGGUGGUCAGGUAGAGAAUACCAAGGCGCUUGAGAGAACUCGGGUGAAGGAACUAGGCAAAAUGGUGCCGUAACUUCGGGAGAAGGCACGCUGACACGUAGGUGAAGUGAUUUACUCAUGGAGCUGAAGUCAGUCGAAGAUACCAGCUGGCUGCAACUGUUUAUUAAAAACACAGCACUGUGCAAACACGAAAGUGGACGUAUACGGUGUGACGCCUGCCCGGUGCCGGAAGGUUAAUUGAUGGGGUCAGCGCAAGCGAAGCUCCUGAUCGAAGCCCCGGUAAACGGCGGCCGUAACUAUAACGGUCCUAAGGUAGCGAAAUUCCUUGUCGGGUAAGUUCCGACCUGCACGAAUGGCGUAAUGAUGGCCAGGCUGUCUCCACCCGAGACUCAGUGAAAUUGAACUCGCUGUGAAGAUGCAGUGUACCCGCGGCAAGACGGAAAGACCCCGUGAACCUUUACUAUAGCUUGACACUGAACAUUGAGCCUUGAUGUGUAGGAUAGGUGGGAGGCUUUGAAGUGUGGACGCCAGUCUGCAUGGAGCCGACCUUGAAAUACCACCCUUUAAUGUUUGAUGUUCUAACGUGGACCCGUGAUCCGGGUUGCGGACAGUGUCUGGUGGGUAGUUUGACUGGGGCGGUCUCCUCCUAAAGAGUAACGGAGGAGCACGAAGGUUGGCUAAUCCUGGUCGGACAUCAGGAGGUUAGUGCAAUGGCAUAAGCCAGCUUGACUGCGAGCGUGACGGCGCGAGCAGGUGCGAAAGCAGGUCAUAGUGAUCCGGUGGUUCUGAAUGGAAGGGCCAUCGCUCAACGGAUAAAAGGUACUCCGGGGAUAACAGGCUGAUACCGCCCAAGAGUUCAUAUCGACGGCGGUGUUUGGCACCUCGAUGUCGGCUCAUCACAUCCUGGGGCUGAAGUAGGUCCCAAGGGUAUGGCUGUUCGCCAUUUAAAGUGGUACGCGAGCUGGGUUUAGAACGUCGUGAGACAGUUCGGUCCCUAUCUGCCGUGGGCGCUGGAGAACUGAGGGGGGCUGCUCCUAGUACGAGAGGACCGGAGUGGACGCAUCACUGGUGUUCGGGUUGUCAUGCCAAUGGCACUGCCCGGUAGCUAAAUGCGGAAGAGAUAAGUGCUGAAAGCAUCUAAGCACGAAACUUGCCCCGAGAUGAGUUCUCCCUGAGACUUAAAGUCUCCUGAAGGAACGUUGAAGACGACGACGUUGAUAGGCCGGGUGUGUAAGCGC
Molecule: ribosomal RNA, 1342 nt
Filed under: Salmonella enterica subsp. enterica serovar Give
Lineage: Bacteria; Pseudomonadati; Pseudomonadota; Gammaproteobacteria; Enterobacterales; Enterobacteriaceae
Description: partial 23S ribosomal RNA
Rfam family: Bacterial large subunit ribosomal RNA
Source: RNAcentral